Molecule: ribosomal RNA, 492 nt
Filed under: uncultured bacterium
Lineage: Bacteria
Description: partial 16S ribosomal RNA
Rfam family: Bacterial small subunit ribosomal RNA
Source: RNAcentral
AGUGAACGCUGGCGGUAGGCCUAACACAUGCAAGUCGAACGGCAGCACAGUAAGAGCUUGCUCUUACGGGUGGCGAGUGGCGGACGGGUGAGGAAUACAUCGGAAUCUACUUUUUCGCGGGGGAUAACGUAGGGAAACUUACGCUAAUACCGCAUACGACCUACGGGUGAAAGCAGGGGAUCUUCGGACCUUGCGCGAUUGAAUGAGCCGAUGUCGGAUUAGCUAGUUGGCGGGGUAAAGGCCCACCAAGGCGACGAUCCGUAGCUGGUCUGAGAGGAUGAUCAGCCACACUGGAACUGAGACACGGUCCAGACUCCUACGGGAGGCAGCAGUGGGGAAUAUUGGACAAUGGGCGCAAGCCUGAUCCAGCCAUACCGCGUGAGUGAAGAAGGCCUUCGGGUUGUAAAGCCCUUUUGUUGGGAAAGAAAAGCAGCAGGUUAAUACCCCGCUGUUCUGACGGUACCCAAAGAAUAAGCACCGGCUAACUUCGUG